RNAcentral lists this ribosomal RNA (649 nucleotides) under uncultured bacterium. Its description in RNAcentral is "bacterial SSU rRNA". It matches the Rfam family "Bacterial small subunit ribosomal RNA", at positions 43 to 737 of the family's 1533-position model. The record is from RNAcentral.
CAGGCCUAACACAUGCAAGUCGAACGAAGUAGCAAUACUUAGUGGCAGACGGGUGAGUAACAUGUGGGUAUCUGCCCUUUGGCCUGGAAUAACACGAGGAAACUUGUGCUAAUACUGGAUAAGUCUUUACGGAGAAAGCUUUAUGCACCAUUGGAUGAGCCCGCACUUGAUUAGUUUGUUGGUGGGGUAAUGGCCUACCAAGACUUUGAUCAAUAGCUGAUUUGAGAGGAUGAUCAGCCACAUUGGGACCGAGACACGGCCCAAACUCCUACGGGAGGCAGCAGUGGGGAAUCUUGCACAAUGGAGGAAACUCUGAUGCAGCGAUGCCGCGUGAGUGAAGAAGGCCCUUGGGUUGUAAAGCUCUUUCGUCGGGGAAGAAAAUGACUGUACCCGAAUAAGAAGGUCCGGCUAACUUCGUGCCAGCAGCCGCGGUAAUACGAAGGGACCUAGCGUAGUUCGGAAUUACUGGGCUUAAAGAGUUCGUAGGUGGUUGAAAAAGUUGGUGGUGAAAUCCCAGAGCUUAACUCUGGAACUGCCAUCAAAACUUUUCAGCUAGAGUAUGAUAGAGGAAAGCAGAAUUUCUAGUGUAGAGGUGAAAUUCGUAGAUAUUAGAAAGAAUACCAAUUGCGAAGGCAGCUUUCUGGAUCAU